CUAUAACGGUCCUAAGGUAGCGAAAUUCCUUGUCGGGUAAGUUCCGACCCGCACGAAUGGCGUAAUGACUUGGGCACUGUCUCAACAGCAAAUCCGGCGAAAUUGUAGUGCAAGUGAAGAUGCUUGCUACCCGCGAUAGGACGGAAAGACCCCGUAGAGCUUUACUGUAGCUUAACAUUGAAUUUCGGUAUUGUCUGUACAGGAUAGGUGGGAGACUUAGAAGCAGGAGCGUCAGUUUCUGUGGAGUCAUCCUUGGGAUACCACCCUGAUAGUACUGAAAUUCUAACCGGGGACCAUGAAUCUGGUCACGGGACAUUGUUAGGUGGGCAGUUUGACUGGGGCGGUCGCCUCCUAAAAAGUA
RNAcentral lists this ribosomal RNA (361 nucleotides) under Acinetobacter baumannii. RNAcentral describes it as "partial 23S ribosomal RNA". It matches the Rfam family "Bacterial large subunit ribosomal RNA", at positions 1940 to 2299 of the family's 2925-position model. The record is from RNAcentral. Lineage: Bacteria; Pseudomonadati; Pseudomonadota; Gammaproteobacteria; Moraxellales; Moraxellaceae.